UUACACAUGUCAUUGUAUUGUCACACCCACACUAUCUCCAUCCCAGUUUGCCUCUGUUAUUUCUCAACCUCGGCCUGCUUCAGUUCAAAAACAAUUCCUCACACCAUUAUUCCAGGAGCAGGUGCAGAAGCGUUGUUCAUUUGAUUUCCUUUACCCUCCUUUCCCCCCACCUUUCUUUUGCCCUUUCCAGUUUCACAUUUCCUUUCCUUCUAACUACCAGUCAUGCAUCUAUCUUUCUGUGUCGGUCUCUGUCGGUCUCCACAUACUGUCAAGUCUUUAGAGUCUAUAGGAUUUGAAUGAUUUGUGAUCUUAAUUUUAU
Molecule: long non-coding RNA, 319 nt
Filed under: Populus trichocarpa (black cottonwood)
Lineage: Eukaryota; Viridiplantae; Streptophyta; Magnoliopsida; Malpighiales; Salicaceae
Description: long non-coding RNA (PTRI_LNC000050)
Source: RNAcentral